This 484-nucleotide ribosomal RNA is filed under the name uncultured bacterium. RNAcentral's name for it is "bacterial SSU rRNA". It matches the Rfam family "Bacterial small subunit ribosomal RNA", at positions 30 to 507 of the family's 1533-position model. The record is from RNAcentral.
AUUGAACGCUGGCGGCAUGCCUUACACAUGCAAGUCGAACGGCAGCGGGGACUUCGGUCCGCCGGCGAGUGGCGAACGGGUGAGUAAAGUAUCGGAACGUACCUUUCAGUGGGGGAUAACGUAGCGAAAGUUACGCUAAUACCGCAUAUUCUGUGAGCAGGAAAGCAGGGGAUCGCAAGACCUUGCGCUGAUUGAGCGGCCGAUAUCAGAUUAGCUAGUUGGUGGGGUAAAGGCCUACCAAGGCGACGAUCUGUAGCGGGUCUGAGAGGAUGAUCCGCCACACUGGAACUGAGACACGGUCCAGACUCCUACGGGAGGCAGCAGUGGGGAAUUUUGGACAAUGGGGACAACCCUGAUCCAGCCAUGCCGCGUGAGUGAAGAAGGCCUUCGGGUUGUAAAGCUCUUUCGGCCGGGAAGAAAUCGCACAGGCUAAUACCCUGUGUGGAUGACGGUACCGGAAUAAGAAGCACCGGCUAACUACGUG